This 73-nucleotide transfer RNA is filed under the name Promethearchaeota archaeon. RNAcentral describes it as "Candidatus Lokiarchaeota archaeon (microbial mat metagenome) tRNA-Thr". It matches the Rfam family "tRNA". Rfam says of the family: Transfer RNA (tRNA) molecules are approximately 80 nucleotides in length. Their secondary structure includes four short double-helical elements and three loops (D, anti-codon, and T loops). Lineage: Archaea; Promethearchaeati; Promethearchaeota. The record is from RNAcentral.
GCCGACGUGGCUUAGCUGGUAGAGCGGCUGAUUCGUAAUCAGCAGGUCGAGGGUUCAAACCCCUCCGUCGGCU